RNAcentral lists this ribosomal RNA (497 nucleotides) under uncultured bacterium. RNAcentral's name for it is "partial 16S ribosomal RNA". It matches the Rfam family "Bacterial small subunit ribosomal RNA", at positions 28 to 507 of the family's 1533-position model. The record is from RNAcentral.
GAUGAACGCUGGCGGCGUGCCUAAUACAUGCAAGUCGAGCGAACAGAUAAGGAGCUUGCUCCUUUGACGUUAGCGGCGGACGGGUGAGUUACACGUGGAUAACCUACCUAUAAGACUGGGAUAACUUCGGGAAACCGGAGCUAAUACCGGAUAACAUAUUGAACCGCAUGGUUCAAUAGUGAAAGGCGGCUUUGCUGUCACUUAUAGAUGGAUCCGCGCCGUAUUAGCUAGUUGGUAAGGUAACGGCUUACCAAGGCAACGAUACGUAGCCGACCUGAGAGGGUGAUCGGCCACACUGGAACUGAGACACGGUCCAGACUCCUACGGGAGGCAGCAGUAGGGAAUCUUCCGCAAAGGGCGAAAGCCUGACGGAGCAACGCCGCGUGAGUGACGAAGGUCUUCGGAUCGUAAAACUCUGUUAUCAGGGAAGAACAAAUGUGUAAGUAACUGUGCACAUCUUGACGGUACCUGAUCAGAAAGCCACGGCUAACUACGUG